GCCAGGCGCAGUGGUGCACGGCUGUAAUCCCAGCUUCUGAGGAGGCUGAGGCAGGAGGAUCACGAGUUCAAAGCCAGCCUCUGUAAUGGCCAGGCGCUAAGCAAUUCAGUGAGACCCUAUCUCUA
RNAcentral lists this small RNA (125 nucleotides) under Marmota monax (woodchuck). The record is from RNAcentral. Lineage: Eukaryota; Metazoa; Chordata; Mammalia; Rodentia; Sciuridae.